This 257-nucleotide ribosomal RNA is filed under the name uncultured Peptoniphilus sp. RNAcentral's name for it is "partial 16S ribosomal RNA". It matches the Rfam family "Bacterial small subunit ribosomal RNA", at positions 99 to 355 of the family's 1533-position model. The record is from RNAcentral. Lineage: Bacteria; Bacillati; Bacillota; Tissierellia; Tissierellales; Peptoniphilaceae.
CGGACGGGUGAGUAACACGUGAGCAACCUGCCUUAGACAUUGGGAUAGCCUCGGGAAACCGGGAUUAAUACCAAAUGAAAUCACAUAUGCACAUGCAUAAAUGAUCAAAGCUCCGGCGGUCUAAGAUGGACUCGCGUCCCAUUAGCUAGUUGGUGAGGUAACGGCCCACCAAGGCGACGAUGGGUAGCCGGCCUGAGAGGGUGAACGGCCACAUUGGAACUGAGAAACGGUCCAAACUCCUACGGGAGGCAGCAGCU